This 2385-nucleotide long non-coding RNA is filed under the name Limulus polyphemus (Atlantic horseshoe crab). RNAcentral's name for it is "uncharacterized LOC111088139, transcript variant X2". The record is from RNAcentral. Lineage: Eukaryota; Metazoa; Arthropoda; Merostomata; Xiphosura; Limulidae.
UAAGCCCACAGACAUACCGCUGUGCCACUGGAGGUUUUCAACUUUGACUCCGGCUGUUUGUAUUUUUAUUUAAUCGUUGUUGAUUUUGUUCCGCCUGUGCUUGGAAAUAACGAUUAGUGUUCACGUCUUUUCUAAAUGAACUGUAGAGAAACCGACAUCACGCUCGAGAGAGAUCUGUUUUUGAAGAACGAUUCAGUUAUGUAAAUGCUGUAUAUGUAUAUUAUUUUAUUAUUUUCAGUGAAUUAUGGUCUAGAAAGCAAGCUUUAAUUUAUCAUUCAUACUUCAAACCACAUUCACGGUUAGUUAAGAUACUCACUGAUAAACAUAACUAUUUAAUAAAAUCAAUUUCUAGUGUUAAUGAUCACAGGAUCACGUGGAGAAACUGCAACGAAUUUAAAAAAAAAAGGCCUAAAACUCGAGCUAUUGAAUAGCUGACAAUUCUUCUUCAGGAGAAUAAAGUUUUCAAUGUUGAUGGUUCAAAAUUUUCCAAUAGGGGAAGCAGCUUACUCACCAUGGUAAUAUCUCAUGAUUACCAUAUAUAUCACCAUGGUAACAUCUUAUGAUAUAUAUAUAAAUACAUCACCAUGGUAACAUCUCAUGAUAUAUAUAUGGAUACAUACAUACAUUUAUAUGAUGCUCAUUUAUUUUGUAUUUUCAGUACUGAUGUAGAAACAGGCUAGAAAACACCAGAAAACAAUGAAUAAUAGUUGUUUUUUAGUUUACCCGCCAGGGUGAUAUCUUAAAGAGUGUUCAAAAUUGUUUUCAGACCACAUUUUUAGUGAGAGGUGACAAGUUUAUAUAACGCAUGUCUAAUCACUUGCCAUCGAAAGACAGAAUAACCUUAAUAGAUCAGUGGCACGCGCACGACGGUAUGUCUGCGGACUUACAACGCUAGAAACCGAAUUUCUAUACCCGUGGUGGGCAGAGUACAGACAACCCAUUGUGUAGCUUUGUGCUUAAACUACAAACAUUCAUGGAGAAUUUUCAUUAUUUGUUAAUAUGAUCGCACUUACAUACCACGGUUUCAAAUGGAAUUGUAGCAAAACAAAUGUUAUGUAAAACCUCGUAACCAGAUCAAUAGUUAAAAUAACUUACGACUUCAAUGAAGAAAAAAAAAACUUUUCUCAUUUUAAUCAAAUAUUUAAUCUCAAUUAUGGCACCGUUGUUCAAAUUAUUAUCAUUUUGAACUUUAAGAAAAAAUGUGAUUACAUAAAGAAAAACAAACUUAUAGCUCAGAGUUUUGUUGGUUUUUCAAUGCAUGGUAAUUUUAAAAUCUCAUUACAGAGAAAAUAAAACUUGCUGAAUAAAAUUAAUUUUAUAUCUGUAUAACAACUGUGCAUUAAUUUAAAAUGGUUCGUUUUUUUAUGGAAAGUUAUUCUUACUUGUCUGGGUCAAAGCAUGACGUACUAUCGGUAGGUAAUUUUACUGUUAGGUAACGUUAAGGAAGUCUUUCCUUACUUGUCUAGGUCAAGACUUGGUGUACUUAUUGGCAGAUAAGUUUACUGUUAGGUAACGUUAAGGAAGUCUUUCCUUACUUGUCUAGGUCAAGACUUGGUGUACUUAUUGGCAGGUAAUUUUACUGUUAGGUAAAAGUCCUUCCUCACUUGUCUAGGUCAAGACUCUAAUGCCUGUGAUCAAUAAGUAGUUUUCCUGUUAAGUACCUUUAAAUAACUCUUGCCUAUUUUUUGUGUCCUUUUAUUUUUGUGUUCUCUACUUGUUUACAGAAAUUAUGUGCUUUGUUUGGUAACACUGUUAAUAUGUUAUAUAAAUAGCACCAAGGCAAAGGCUGGAAUUCUCGCGCUCACUUGAUCUGAUGUUUAACACGAAAAAAUACACAAUAUGAGUGUGUUCCAAUCCCGUCGACUUUCUUUACUGUUACUCUCGUGUUCCAGAUAAUAGUGCAGGGUGGGAAAAUAUCAAUAAUUUAAUAAUAGUACAGGGUGGAAUAAUUUAGAUUUCAAAUUUAAUUAUUGUACAGGUUGAAAUCAUUGGUUAAAGAUGACGGGAAAAAAAUAAUCAUGUAGACCCAAAUAAGCAUCGUGCAGGGUAGAACAUUUCUACAAAAUUAAUAAUUAAUUAACUCACCUGUAUGAUAAAAGCUUACGAUAUCCUAGUUCUUCAUUUAUCAGAUAACAAGAAGAAAAAAUCAGGUUGAUGUUUUGGAAAUGUGGAUUGUGAUAGAUCUCGAAUGACUUGCUCAUUGCACAAGUUAAGCCUCACAGGAUGUUGUUUAUUGUUUGAGAUGAAUAUAUUGUUGCUGUUAAACAAUAGUCAUUCUUUGUGUAUAUAUGUAAAUAUUAGUACCUUGUUACACCUAAGUUUUCUGUAAAGUGUUAAAUAGAUGUACCUUAGCUUAGAAAUAAAAACAUGUUUAACCAAUGUAAA